This 406-nucleotide ribosomal RNA is filed under the name uncultured bacterium. RNAcentral's name for it is "partial 16S ribosomal RNA". It matches the Rfam family "Bacterial small subunit ribosomal RNA", at positions 30 to 526 of the family's 1533-position model. The record is from RNAcentral.
AUUGAACGCUGGCGGCAGGCUUAACACAUGCAAGUCGAACGCGUGGCGGACGGGUGUGUAAUGUCUGGGAAACUGCCCGAUGGAGGGGGAUAACUACUGGACACGGUAUCUAAUACCGCAUACCAUCCGAUGUUCCCAGAUGGUAUUAUCUAGUAGGUGGGGUAACGGCGCACCUAGGCGACGCUCCCUAGCUGGUCUGCGAGGAUGACCAGCCACAAGGGAAAGGGGACAAGGGCCAGACUCCUACGGGAGGCAGCAGUGGGGAAUAUGGCACAAUGGGCGCAAGACUGAUGCAGCCAUGCCGCGUGUAUGAAGAAGGACGUCGGGUUGUAAAGUACGUUCAGCGAGGAGGCGUUACUGGCAGAAGAAGCACCGGCUAACUCCGGGCCAGCAGCCGCGGUAAUAC